CCUACGGGGUGCAGCAGUGGGGAAUAUUGGACAAUGGGCGAAAGCCUGAUCCAGCCAUGCCGCGUGUGUGAAGAAGGCCUUCGGGUUGUAAAGCACUUUCAGUGGGGAAGAAAGCCUUGGGGCUAAUACCCUCGAGGAAGGACAUCACCCACAGAAGAAGCACCGGCUAACUCCGUGCCAGCAGCCGCGGUAAUACGGAGGGUGCGAGCGUUAAUCGGAAUUACUGGGCGUAAAGCGCGCGUAGGCGGUCUGAUAAGCCGGUUGUGAAAGCCCCGGGCUCAACCUGGGAACGGCAUCCGGAACUGUCAGGCUAGAGUGCAGGAGAGGAAGGUAGAAUUCCCGGUGUAGCGGUGAAAUGCGUAGAGAUCGGGAGGAAUACCAGUGGCGAAGGCGGCCUUCUGGACUGACACUGACGCUGAGGUGCGAAAGCGUGGGUAGCAAACAGGAUUAGAUACCCGAGUAGUC
RNAcentral lists this ribosomal RNA (465 nucleotides) under Vreelandella stevensii. Its description in RNAcentral is "partial 16S ribosomal RNA". It matches the Rfam family "Bacterial small subunit ribosomal RNA", at positions 338 to 795 of the family's 1533-position model. The record is from RNAcentral. Lineage: Bacteria; Pseudomonadati; Pseudomonadota; Gammaproteobacteria; Oceanospirillales; Halomonadaceae.